This 111-nucleotide ribosomal RNA is filed under the name uncultured eukaryote. RNAcentral describes it as "partial small subunit ribosomal RNA". It matches the Rfam family "Eukaryotic small subunit ribosomal RNA", at positions 1676 to 1785 of the family's 1831-position model. The record is from RNAcentral.
UCGCUCCUACCGAUUGAACGUGCUGGUGAAGAGUUCGGAUUGGAAUCUUGGCUAGGUUUCCUAGCCCUGAUUCCGAGAAGUUCUUUAAACCCUCCCGUUUAGAGGAAGGAG